UACAGAGGUCUCAAGCGUUGUUCGGAUUCAUUGGGCGUAAAGGGUGCGUAGGCGGCGCGGUAAGUCGGGUGUGAAAUCUCGGGGCUUAACUCCGAAACUGCAUUCGAUACUGCCGUGCUUGAGGACUGGAGAGGAGACUGGAAUUUACGGUGUAGCGGUGAAAUGCGUAGAUAUCGUAAGGAAGACCAGUGGCGAAGGCGGGUCUCUGGACAGUUACUGACACUGAGGCGCGACAGCGUGGGGAGCAAACAGG
Molecule: ribosomal RNA, 253 nt
Filed under: uncultured bacterium
Lineage: Bacteria
Description: partial 16S ribosomal RNA
Rfam family: Bacterial small subunit ribosomal RNA
Source: RNAcentral